GUGCGCUAGCUAUAACAUGCAGUCGAGCGGACUUAAGGAGAAUCUUGCUUCUCUGAUGGUUAGCGGCGGACGGGUGACUAACGCGUAUGCAACCUGCCCUCAAGUUUGAUACCACUACCGAAGACGGUACCUAAUACCGAAUACUUGAUUUCUUCUCCUGAAGAAAACUGCAAAGACGGAGCAAUCUGUUACUUGGGGAUGGGCCUGCGGUGCAUUAGCUAGCUGCCGGGGUAACGACUCACCAAGGCGACGAUGCGAAGCCGACCUGAGAGGGUGAUCAGACACACUGCGACUGACACACGGACCAGACUCCUACGGAAGGCGGAAGUAGGGAAUCUUCCUGAACGAGCGAAAGCCUGACGGAGCAAUGCCGCGUGAGUGAUGAAGGCUUUCGGAUCGAAGAGCUCUGUUGCCAGGUAAGAACGCUUGGGAGAGUAACUGCUCUCAAAGAGACGGUACCUGAUAAGACAGCCCCGGCUAACUACGUGCCACCAACCGCGCAAUACGUAUCGGACAGCGGGUCCGGAAUUAUUGUACGUGAGCGCGCGCAGGCGUGCAUUUAGUCUGGCGUAAAUCCCAAUGCUCACCACGGAGCUACUGAAACUGGGUGACUUGAGUGAGAAGACAGAGUGAAUUCCAAUGUAACGGAGAAAUGCGAAUUAUGUGGAGAACACCAGCGCUAAGGA
RNAcentral lists this ribosomal RNA (686 nucleotides) under Paenibacillus tundrae. Its description in RNAcentral is "bacterial SSU rRNA". It matches the Rfam family "Bacterial small subunit ribosomal RNA", at positions 42 to 721 of the family's 1533-position model. Lineage: Bacteria; Bacillati; Bacillota; Bacilli; Caryophanales; Paenibacillaceae. The record is from RNAcentral.